RNAcentral lists this unclassified non-coding RNA (201 nucleotides) under rhizosphere metagenome. RNAcentral describes it as "partial ribosomal RNA internal transcribed spacer region". The record is from RNAcentral.
GAAAAUAAACCUGAUGGGUUGUUGCUGGCUCUCUAGGGAGCAUGUGCACACCUUGUCAUCUUUAUAUCUCCACCUGUGCACCUUUUGUAGACAUCUUUCCCUAGGUGUCUAUGUUGAUUCUUCAUUUACCCCCAAUGUAUGUCAAUAGAAUGUUGUGCCUAUUUAAUAUAUACAACUUUCAGCAACGGAUCUCUUGGCUCU